UGUUAAAAGUUUCAUCCACUUGUACUGUUAAAAAUUGGCGUAGUUGACGGAAUAACUAGAGAAUGACAUGUGAUAUGUCACGUGUACCUCUUACUGACGUAUAAGAACCAAUUUUUAAAAGUAGAAAUGAAUAAUUUUUUUUUAAAA
Molecule: non-coding RNA, 147 nt
Organism: Gossypium hirsutum (cotton)
Lineage: Eukaryota; Viridiplantae; Streptophyta; Magnoliopsida; Malvales; Malvaceae
Source: Rfam